UACGUAGGGGGCAAGCGUUAUCCGGAUUUACUGGGUGUAAAGGGUGCGCAGGCGGAUUUUUAAGUCAGCGGUCAAAUCGUGGGGCUCAACCCCAUCCAGCCGUUGAAACUGGGGAUCUAGAGUGUGCGAGAGGUAUGCGGAAUGCGUGGUGUAGCGGUGAAAUGCAUAGAUAUCACGCAGAACUCCGAUUGCGAAGGCAGCAUACCGGCGCCCAACUGACGCUGAAGCACGAAAGCGUGGGUAUCGAACAGG
RNAcentral lists this ribosomal RNA (252 nucleotides) under uncultured Bacteroidales bacterium. Its description in RNAcentral is "partial 16S ribosomal RNA". It matches the Rfam family "Bacterial small subunit ribosomal RNA", at positions 524 to 776 of the family's 1533-position model. Lineage: Bacteria; Pseudomonadati; Bacteroidota; Bacteroidia; Bacteroidales. The record is from RNAcentral.